Long non-coding RNA from Brassica rapa (field mustard), 332 nucleotides. RefSeq lists it as uncharacterized. The record is from RefSeq and is a predicted model, not a curated record. NCBI's taxonomy places the organism in Eukaryota, Viridiplantae, Streptophyta, Magnoliopsida, Brassicales, Brassicaceae.
AGAAUGAUCUACACUAAAACAUCCUAGAACUAACCUAAUCACCCUUAAUCUCCCUAACCCAUAAAUUCAAAAGGUGAUUACUCACUAAUCUCCAUGAUUCCUCUUGAACCCAUAUUGGAUUUCAGAUUAACCAUGUAGAGAAAUAGAUAAGAAAUCAACAAGAACACAAGAUGAAAGCAAUGAAAUCUGAAUCAAAAGAGGUUUUUUACUAGUUCUUCUCUAGAAAAGAGAUUAUCUUGCCUCCAAUGGCUUACAAAAGUACUUAACUUAGGUUUAGAAAGUGUAAAACAUCAAAACAAAUGACCAAAAGGUCCCUGAAAUAACAUAAAAAA